RNAcentral lists this ribosomal RNA (465 nucleotides) under uncultured bacterium. RNAcentral's name for it is "partial 16S ribosomal RNA". It matches the Rfam family "Bacterial small subunit ribosomal RNA", at positions 338 to 795 of the family's 1533-position model. The record is from RNAcentral.
CCUACGGGUGGCAGCAGUGGGGAAUAUUGCUCAAUGGGCGCAAGCCUGACGCAGCGACGUCGCGUGAGGGAUGACGGUCCUCGGAUCGUAAACCUCCGUUAGCAUGGAAGUACGGUCACUUUUGUAAUCAGCAUUGCAUUGACGUUAUCUGCAAAGGAAGCACCGGCUAACUCCGUCCCAGCAGCCGCGGUAAAAAGGAGGGUGGGAGCGUUAAUCGGAGUUAGUGGGCGUAAAGGUAUCGUAGGCGGUAUGUUAAGUCAAGGGUGAAAUCCCCGCGCUCAACGUGUAAACUGCCUUUGAUACUGGCAAACUGGAGGGUGUUAGAGGAUAGUGGAAUGCCAGGUGUAGGAGUGAAAUCCGUAGAUAUCUGGAGGAACAUCAGUUGCGAAGGCGACUAGCUGGCACAUAACUGACGCUGAGGAGCGAAAGCGUGGGUAGCAAACAGGAUUAGAUACCCUUGUAGUC